GACGAACGCUGGCGGCGUGCUUAACACAUGCAAGUCGAACGGUGACGCGCCUUCCUUUUUGGUGGGUGUGGAUGAGUGGCGCACGGGUGAGUAACACGUGAGUAACCUGCCCCCUUCUUCUGGAUAACCGCAUGAAAGUGUGGCUAAUACGGGAUAUUCUGGGUCUGUCGCAUGAUGGGUCUGGGACAGCUAUUGUUUCGGUGGGGGGUGGGCUCGCGGACUAUCAGCUUGUUGGGGGGGUGAUGGCCUCCCAAGGCGGUGACGAGUAGCCGGCCUGGGAGGGUGGACGGUCACACGGGGACGGAGAGACGGCGAAGACUCCGACGGGAGGCAGCGGGGGGGAAUAGAGCACAGUGGGCGCAAGGAUGAUGCAGCGACGCGGCGGGAGAGAUGGAGGCCGGCGGGUUGUGAACCCCUGUCGCGAGUGAAGCAGGCCUGCCUCGUUUGUGGGUGGGUUGACGGUAGCGGGAGAAGAAGCGCCGGCUAACUACGUG
This 494-nucleotide ribosomal RNA is filed under the name uncultured bacterium. RNAcentral describes it as "partial 16S ribosomal RNA". It matches the Rfam family "Bacterial small subunit ribosomal RNA", at positions 28 to 507 of the family's 1533-position model. The record is from RNAcentral.